CCUACGGGAGGCAGCAGUGAGGAAUAUUGGUCAAUGGCCGAGAGGCUGAACCAGCAAAGUCGCGUGAGGGAAGACGGCCCUACGGGUUGUAAACCUCUUUUGUCGGGGAGCAAAGCGAGUCACGUGUGACUCAUUGAGAGUACCCGAAGAAAAAGCAUCGGCUAACUCCGUGCCAGCAGCCGCGGUAAUACGGAGGAUGCGAGCGUGAUCCGGAUUUAUUGGGUUUAAAGGGUGCGCAGGCGGAGUUGCAAGUCAGCGGUCAAAUUGCGGGGCUCAACCCCGUACUGCCGUUGAAACUGCAGCCCUUGAGUGCGCGAGAAGUAUGCGGAAUGCGUGGUGUAGCGGUGAAAUGCAUAGAGAUCACGCAGAACUCCGAUUGCGAAGGCAGCAUACCGGCGCGCAACUGACGCUCAUGCACGAAAGCGUGGGUAUCGAACAGGAUUAGAUACUCCUGUAGUC
RNAcentral lists this ribosomal RNA (459 nucleotides) under uncultured bacterium. RNAcentral's name for it is "partial 16S ribosomal RNA". It matches the Rfam family "Bacterial small subunit ribosomal RNA", at positions 338 to 795 of the family's 1533-position model. The record is from RNAcentral.